Glycine soja is the source of this 1122-nucleotide long non-coding RNA. RefSeq lists it as uncharacterized. The transcript has 2 exons. NCBI's taxonomy places the organism in Eukaryota, Viridiplantae, Streptophyta, Magnoliopsida, Fabales, Fabaceae. The record is from RefSeq and is a predicted model, not a curated record.
UUCUUGUGGUGUAUUUUCCCUUUUCCAUUUCUUUCGUUAUCACAGCAAUGGCCAAGAAGAAUCCUUAUGAUGGUUGGGGGUUAAGUGUAAUCAAAUAUAGAGUAUGCUUUCCUUUUUGUAGGAUCCCAUAAGUAAAGAUAUGUUGAUUAUUCUUUUUGAGAAUCACCUCUACCGAAUGAACGACCACGUGGAUUUUGUUCAAGUAAGAUAUCCUAGCACUACUUAAUCAAACUUUCCUUUCGUCUCUCAAUUCGGUUGCCUUCUAAGUAUUAACUCAGAUACUUUCAAGAGAGAGUUAUAUCUUGGUUUAUCAUUUAGUAUAUAGUAUAACUUAUUUUAGAUGGUUAACCAAGCUUAUCAGCAAGCACGUGAAUCAACUCGCGAGGAAUUGUUCCAGUUUAAUUAAAUAAGAACAUCUACCUACCUUACUAUUCUAUGACAUUAACAUUUCCUUGCGUUAAGGCUGUCUCUUGUAUAAAAAGAGAGGAAUAGCGGAUGCAAGAGGAGAUGAUUCAAAGUUGGAUUUGGAGGAAACAGUGAGUGAGAUCAUGAUUCAUGAAGGCACUAGGAUAGCUCCCGACCCAGUUCGAUUUUCUCAUGCAAAAGGCUCAGAGCUACCAGAAUUACCAAGUUUCUCAGGGAAGAACCCCGAAGGCUGGAUCUUCAAGGCAGAGAAAUAUUUUUCCCCACACCAUAUUGGACUUCAUUUUCUCCUGUUAUACCCUUUCCCCACACCAGGCGAAUUUCAGCCAUCAACUCCUCAACUACAAUAUAUAAUUGUUUGUCCUUGUGCAGUAGCAUGGGAGCUUAAAACAAAAUCAGGCAAUCAACUAACAACUGUUCCUAGUUCCUCGAUCGAGUCAUGUUGCAUCAGGUUUCACAUUUGAAAUUUACUUUCAAGACCACCACCGAAUUUGGUUGGUAAAUGUUGAACAAAUUCAACUGGAUGGAUCCACAAAUAUAAUAUUUACAUAUCUUGCAAGAUUUGUGAAGUCAACUCCUAGGUGGUUUUAGCUCUGAGCACAUGAAUUUCAUAGCGUUAGAUAGGAAGAGAAAUUGCUGAGAUCUACAUGAGAAUUCAACAAUAAAAAGUUACAAGUGAGGAAAUGAUUUUAUGUUUAA